AUGAACGCUGGCUACAGGCUUAACACAUGCAAGUCGAGGGGAAACGACGGGGAAGCUUGCUUCCCCGGGCGUCGACCGGCGCACGGGUGAGUAACGCGUAUCCAACCUGCCUCUGACUGAGGGAUAACCCGUCGAAAGUCGGCCUAAUACCUCAUGGUAUCGUCUGCGGGCAUCCAACGACGAUUAAAGAUUUCAUCGGUCAGGGAUGGGGAUGCGUCUGAUUAGCUUGUUGGCGGGGUAACGGCCCACCAAGGCUACGAUCAGUAGGGGUUCUGAGAGGAAGGUCCCCCACAUUGGAACUGAGACACGGUCCAAAGUCCUACGGGAGGCAGUAGUGAGGAAUAUUGGUCAAUGGGCGAGAGCAUGAACCAGCCAAGUAGCGUGCAGGAAGACGGCCCUAUGGGUUGUAAACUGCUUUUAGGCGGGGAUAAAGUGAGGGACGUGUCCCUCAUUGCAGGUACCGCAUGAAUAAGGACCGGCUAAUUCCGUG
This 490-nucleotide ribosomal RNA is filed under the name uncultured bacterium. RNAcentral's name for it is "partial 16S ribosomal RNA". It matches the Rfam family "Bacterial small subunit ribosomal RNA", at positions 29 to 507 of the family's 1533-position model. The record is from RNAcentral.